Molecule: unclassified non-coding RNA, 400 nt
Filed under: uncultured Rubrobacterales bacterium
Lineage: Bacteria; Bacillati; Actinomycetota; Rubrobacteria; Rubrobacterales
Description: contains 16S-23S intergenic spacer region
Rfam family: Bacterial small subunit ribosomal RNA
Source: RNAcentral
UCCGGAUUAGAUACCCUGGUAGUCCUAGCCGUAAACGAUGAACACUAGGUGUGGGGGGAGUCGAAUCCCUCUGUGCCGCAGCCAACGCGUUAAGUGUUCCGCCUGGGGAGUACGGCCGCAAGGCUAAAACUCAAAAGAAUUGACGGGGGCCCGCACAAGCAGCGGAGCAUGUUCUUUAAUUCGAUGCAACGCGAAGAACCUUACCUGGGCUUGACAUGGCGCUGCAAGCGCACGGAAACGUGUGACCUUCGAGGGUGCGCCACAGGUGCUGCGUGGCUGUCGUCAGCUCGUGUCGUGAGAUGUUGGGUUAAGUCCCGCAACGAGCGCAACCCCCGUGGCGUGUUGCCAGCAUUUAGUUGGGGACUCACGCCAGACUGCCGGUGACAAACCGGAGGAAGGU